This 454-nucleotide ribosomal RNA is filed under the name uncultured bacterium. RNAcentral describes it as "partial 16S ribosomal RNA". It matches the Rfam family "Bacterial small subunit ribosomal RNA", at positions 28 to 507 of the family's 1533-position model. The record is from RNAcentral.
GAUGAACGCUGACAGAAUGCUUAACACAUGCAAGUCAACUUGAACUUCGGUUUGGGUGGCGGACGGGUGAGUAACGCGUAAAGAACUUGCCUCACAGAUAGGGACAACAUUUGGAAACGAAUGCUAAUACCUGAUAUUAUGAUUAUAUGGCAUCGUAUAAUUAUGAAAGCUAUAUGCGCUGUGAGAGAGCUUUGCGUCCCAUUAGCUAGUUGGAGAGGUAACGGCUCACCAAGGCGAUGAUGGGUAGCCGGCCUGAGAGGGUGAUCGGCCACAAGGGGACUGAGACACGGCCCUUACUCCUACGGGAGGCAGCAGUGGGGAAGAUUGGACAAUGGACCAAGAGUCUGAUCCAGCAAUUCUGUGUGCACGAUGAAGUUUUUCGGAAUGUAAAGUGCUUUCAGUUGGGAAGAAAAAAAUGACGGUACCAACAGAAGAAGUGACGGCUAAAUACGUG